UACAGAGGUCUCAACCGUUGUUCGGAUUCAUUGGGCGUAAAGGGUGCGUAGGCGGUCGCGCAAGUCGGAUGUGAAAUCUCAGGGCUCAACCCUGAAACUGCAUUCGAUACUGCGUGGCUAGAGUGCUGGAGAGGAGACUGGAAUUUACGGUGUAGCAGUGAAAUGCGUAGAUAUCGUAAGGAAGACCAGUGGCGAAGGCGACUCUUUGGCCUGUAACUGACGCUGAGGCGCGAAAGCGUGGGGAGCAAACAGG
RNAcentral lists this ribosomal RNA (253 nucleotides) under uncultured bacterium. Its description in RNAcentral is "partial 16S ribosomal RNA". It matches the Rfam family "Bacterial small subunit ribosomal RNA", at positions 524 to 776 of the family's 1533-position model. The record is from RNAcentral.